This 254-nucleotide ribosomal RNA is filed under the name uncultured bacterium. Its description in RNAcentral is "partial 16S ribosomal RNA". It matches the Rfam family "Bacterial small subunit ribosomal RNA", at positions 524 to 776 of the family's 1533-position model. The record is from RNAcentral.
UACGUAGGGGGCGAGCGUUGUCCGGAUUUAUUGGGCGUAAAGAGCUCGUAGGCGGUUGGGCAAGUCGGGUGUGAAAAUUCCGAGCUCAACUCGGAGACGCCACUCGAUACUGCCCUGACUAGAGUUCGGUAGGGGAGCAUGGAAUUCCCGGUGUAGCGGUGAAAUGCGCAGAUAUCGGGAGGAACACCAGUGGCGAAGGCGGUGCUCUGGGCCGAAACUGACGCUGAGGAGCGAAAGCGUGGGGAGCAAACAGG